Molecule: ribosomal RNA, 251 nt
Filed under: uncultured bacterium
Lineage: Bacteria
Description: partial 16S ribosomal RNA
Rfam family: Bacterial small subunit ribosomal RNA
Source: RNAcentral
UACGUAGGUGGCAAGCGUUGUCCGGAUUUACUGGGCGUAAAGAGCGCGCAGGCGGUCGUUCAAGUCGCGUGUGAAAGCCCCCGGCUCAACUGGGGAGGGUCACGCGAUACUGAUCGACUCGAAGGCAGGAGAGGGUAGUGGAAUUCCCGGUGUAGUGGUGAAAUGCGUAGAUAUCGGGAGGAACACCAGUGGCGAAGGCGACUACCUGGCCUGUUUCUGACGCUGAGGCGCGAAAGCUAGGGAGCAACGGG